This 253-nucleotide ribosomal RNA is filed under the name uncultured bacterium. RNAcentral describes it as "partial 16S ribosomal RNA". It matches the Rfam family "Bacterial small subunit ribosomal RNA", at positions 524 to 776 of the family's 1533-position model. The record is from RNAcentral.
UACGAAGGGUGCAAACGUUGCUCGGAAUUAUUGGGCGUAAAGGGCUCGUAGGCGGUCUGUUACGUCGGGAGUGAAAACUCGGGGCUCAACCCCGAGCCUGCUUCCGAUACGGGCAGACUAGAGGUAUGCAGGGGAGAAUGGAAUUCCUGGUGUAGCGGUGAAAUGCGCAGAUAUCAGGAGGAACACCGGUGGCGAAGGCGGUUCUCUGGGCAUUACCUGACGCUGAGGAGCGAAAGUGUGGGGAGCGAACAGG